AUACAGGAAGAAACACACCCUCGUGAGGGUACUUGACGGUACUGUAUGAAUAAGGACCGGCUAACUCCGUGCCAGCAGCCCCGGUAAU
Molecule: ribosomal RNA, 88 nt
Filed under: uncultured bacterium
Lineage: Bacteria
Description: partial 16S ribosomal RNA
Source: RNAcentral